Molecule: ribosomal RNA, 389 nt
Filed under: uncultured bacterium
Lineage: Bacteria
Description: bacterial SSU rRNA
Rfam family: Bacterial small subunit ribosomal RNA
Source: RNAcentral
GACGAACGCUGGCGGCGUGCUUAACACAUGCAAGUCGAGCGGUAAGGCCCUUUCGGGGUACGACGAGCGGCGAACGGGUGAGUAACACGUGGGUGACCUGCCCUCAGCUCUGGGAUAAGCCCGGGAAACGUGGGUCUAAUACCGGAUAUGACUCCAUGACGCAUGUUGUGGGGUGGAAAGCCUUGUGCGGCUGAGGAUGGGCCCGCGGCCUAUCAGCUUGUUGGUGGGGUGAUGGCCUACCAAGGCGACGACGGGUAGCCGGCCUGAGAGGGCGACCGGCCACACUGGGACUGAGACACGGCCCAGACUCCUACGGGAGGCAGCAGUGGGGAAUCUUGCGCAAUGGGCGAAAGCCUGACGCAGCGACGCCGCGUGAGGGAUGACGGCCU